Molecule: ribosomal RNA, 253 nt
Filed under: uncultured bacterium
Lineage: Bacteria
Also listed under: 5 other names
Description: partial 16S ribosomal RNA
Rfam family: Bacterial small subunit ribosomal RNA
Source: RNAcentral
UACGUAGGGUGCAAGCGUUAAUCGGAAUUACUGGGCGUAAAGCGUGCGCAGGCGGUUCGGAAAGAAAGAUGUGAAAUCCCAGAGCUUAACUUUGGAACUGCAUUUUUAACUACCGGGCUAGAGUGUGUCAGAGGGAGGUGGAAUUCCGCGUGUAGCAGUGAAAUGCGUAGAUAUGCGGAGGAACACCGAUGGCGAAGGCAGCCUCCUGGGAUAACACUGACGCUCAUGCACGAAAGCGUGGGGAGCAAACAGG